UUUUAGCCUUCAAAAUAAUAAAAAAACUGAAACAAUCCCUUAAACUCUCUCUCCCUCCUCCAUUUUCUCAUUUCGGCUAGGGCUUUAACACCCAUCAUCGCCGCCAUCGUCGUGGCCUUUUGUGGCCGCCGUAGUUCCCACCGUAGACGGUGGUUAAGGGUAUGCGAAAAGGGGCUUUCCACCUCUGUUCAAGGCGUCCAAGAGUUUAUGAGGAUAGACCCCUUUUUAUUUCCCUUUUGAAUCGGUCUCAAUCACGGAGCAGAGGCUCCGGCGACGCGAUUCCAGGCUUCGGUAAGUCCCCUCCCUUCUCUUUAUUUCUAUUUAUUUUCGGAUGUCUAAAGAAAUAAAAAUCAAAAGAAAACAGAAUAUAUGAAUUUUAGAACUUAAAACGAAAAUGGAAACGAAAUCAACCUUUUAGUUUUCUUGCUAUUAUGUUUGCUUAAUGUCUCCCCCUUUUACAAUCGGUUUCUUUUUUUAAUUCGAAAAAAAAACCCCCUUACAAAUGAUAGAUUUUGGCUUUUUAAAGCCGAUCUACCAAACAUUCAUUCCAUAUUUUUUUGUUUUUGUUCCUUUGUUUAUUUUUUUUCCAUCAUUCGCAUGCUUUCUCUUGCUGUUGUUUUUGUCUCUGUUGCAGGUGCCAUGCGACGCGUGGAAGAGGCGACGGUCAGGGCAUGCAUGGGAGGAGCGACGGCUGCAAUGCUUUGGUGGCUAGGGUUCUUUUUUAGCAGAAAAUAUUUUGUGGGCUAGGGUUUCUAAGCUUUUAGGUUUAUUGGGCUUCUUUUGGGUUUUAAAAUUUUUUUGGCUGGUGUGGGUUUUGCAAAUAGACAUUUAUUUUAUUUGGGUUUUGUUACUUUAAUGGGUUUGGGCAAUUUGUCUUGGGUUGUUUAACAUUGUAAAUGGACUUGAAAGUUGGUUAUGUGGAUUUUAUUUUUUGGCUUAUUUGUUUGGGCCAAAAUUGGCCAUUAUAAUUUAGAAUGGAAGUAUCAAUUUGUUGGAGAGAAAAAAUAAAAUAGUGGAGAUUCAAUUUAAGUUAAACAUCGUAUCAG
Molecule: long non-coding RNA, 1046 nt
Filed under: Gossypium barbadense (sea-island cotton)
Lineage: Eukaryota; Viridiplantae; Streptophyta; Magnoliopsida; Malvales; Malvaceae
Description: long non-coding RNA (GBAR_LNC011017)
Source: RNAcentral